This is a long non-coding RNA of Raphanus sativus (radish), 947 nucleotides long. RefSeq lists it as uncharacterized. NCBI's taxonomy places the organism in Eukaryota, Viridiplantae, Streptophyta, Magnoliopsida, Brassicales, Brassicaceae. The record is from RefSeq and is a predicted model, not a curated record. The transcript has 3 exons.
CUAAACGUAGAGAUUGUAUAUAUCUUUUUAAGCUGUGGGUAAUUCUGUAAUGUUAGUUUGGAUUUGCUAAUGCUAUAUAAACAAUCUUCAAUUAUAUUAUAUAGUAAGAAGAUUGAUAGUGUUAAUUCAGGAAAAAAACUAGAUAUGUAGUAUUUGACUUUAACAUGUGUCACAUAUGACAUCUAAUUGAAAGAUUGAUAAGUGGGCCUAGACUGCCAGGCCCAACAAGUCGUAUAGCCCAACUGAAGUGAAACAUAAGCAGAAGCAAAGAGAAAAAGAAAAAAGAAACAGGUGAUGGUGCGUUCGUCGCCGAAGGAAAAGACUCCGACACUGUACAAGCUGAUAGAUCUCGUUUUCGUGACCGCAUAUGGCGGUGUCUUCGGAGCUGUUCUCGCCGGUAUAGCAGGAAUGGUUAUCGGCGGACAGCUGGCCAUAAACUCACAGAGCCAAGCUCAGGGAGCUUCAAGAAGUGAACAUUCCACCAGGGCCAAGGCUUUUGGUACUUGAUCAUAUCAAGAGGUACCCUAAGAAGGUAAACCGCUAAUGAGACAAGCAGUAAUUUGACUCCAACCUUUUUGUCUAUAUGGUGGUUGUUGCAUCUGUGUGUCUUAAAUCUCUGUUGUACCAGUAAAAUGCCCAGCACUAUUGGGUCGGACGUAGUCCGGAGGCGACACUCGUUAUCAAGGUUGACAUCUGGGGGGUGCGGGGGCCGCAGACCCCCGCGGUACGGUAUGCUUUUUUGGUUUGGGAAAGUUACUAUUUCUAUUAGGAAAAGAAAAUCGGGUUUUUAAGGCUGUAUAAAUAUGGGUCUAAGGGUUUGUAAAUUAUUAUCACAUCAUUAAUAAGAAACCCUAAACGGGUAUUUGCCUCAAUACGUUUUCUUCUCUAUUCUUCUUCUAACCUAAACGACGGCUGUUCUCAACAGUGGUGGUGGUGACUUAGAAUCG